Molecule: long non-coding RNA, 340 nt
Filed under: Homo sapiens (human)
Lineage: Eukaryota; Metazoa; Chordata; Mammalia; Primates; Hominidae
Description: non-protein coding lnc-ATP6V1G3-4:10
Source: RNAcentral
CACAGGAGCAAGGGAUGUCUGAGCACAAGUGGCUGAGUUCCGAGUGACUUUAUGAAGCACUUUCUACCUUCCUCUCCGGCAUGAAAACAGGGAUUCUGCACCUGCAUCAUGGACAGUCUGGCAAAAGCCUCUGCUCUGCCUCCGGGGACAAGAAACUAGAGCAAAUAACCGUUUUGAAAUUAGAUCCUGGCAAAAUUACCAACAAUCAAUGAUGGAAACUGAAGGGAGAUUGAUUUAAAUCUUCAAUGACAGUUGUACAGAAGUUGAAGAAACACGUCAUCUUUCCAAAGAAGAGUGAGUAGCUUGGUUGGUGGUACCCUAAAAUUAGGGCAUGAUUAAG